AUACGGAGGGGGCUAGCGUUGUUCGGAAUUACUGGGCGUAAAGCGCGCGUAGGCGGGCUGGUUAGUUGGGGGUGAAAUCCCGAGGCUCAACCUCGGAACUGCCCUCAAUACUGCCAGUCUUGAGUUCGAGAGAGGUGAGUGGAGUUCCUAGUGUAGAGGUGAAAUUCGUAGAUAUUAGGAAGAACACCAGUGGCGAAGGCGGCUCACUGGCUCGAUACUGACGCUGAGGCGCGAAAGCGUGGGGAGCAAACAGGAUUAGAAACCCCAGUAGUCC
Molecule: ribosomal RNA, 274 nt
Filed under: uncultured bacterium
Lineage: Bacteria
Description: partial 16S ribosomal RNA
Rfam family: Bacterial small subunit ribosomal RNA
Source: RNAcentral